AGCCAAGAGGAUACAAAGCAUGGAUUAAUGUUGGCAUAUCAUCCGGUGGAAUUAAGUGUUGUAUCCUGGCUAUGUUUUUCAGGUGAAAGUUGGCAGAUUUUAUUAUGGAGGAAAUCUGCUGUUUAAAUGAUUGUCCAGAGUCAAUCUGCACUCCGAGGUUUCGUACCUUUGAUGAACUAACGAUUUCAGAGCCUCCAAGCUCCAGGCCAGUUGGGUGAUCAUGGGAUAUUUUUGUUGCCCAGGGUCUCCUCACCAAGAGUAACUCUGUUUUGUCUGGGUUCACUUUAAGCCAACUAGCAUUCAUCCAUUCUAUGCAGUCUGCUAAGCAACUGUUGAUGCGGCAUGUUGGGUCUGUGGUAUCUGGAGCAAAGGAGAAGUAGAGUUGUGUGUCAUCAGCAUAACAAUGAUACCUUAGGCCAUGUCGCCUAAUGAUGUCCCCCAGUGGUAGCAAGUAAAGAGUACGAAUAGCGUGGGAGACAAGAUGGAUCCUUGUGGAACUCCGCAGGCCAGUUCUGUUGGUGCCGAUGAGCUUGAUACUGAUGUUACUCUCUAUGAUCUACCAGUGAGGAGAGAUUUAAACCAGUUAAGGACUGUGCCUCCUAGACCACAGAUGUGCUGCAAGCGCUCUAUUAAAAUCCUUUGGUCAGUGGUGUCAAAAGCAGCUGAGAGAUCCAAGAGGAUUAGGAUGGAGUAAUAACCUUUGGUUGGAUA
Non-coding RNA from Pelobates cultripes (western spadefoot toad), 711 nucleotides. The record is from the annotation of a GenBank genome assembly. Lineage: Eukaryota; Metazoa; Chordata; Amphibia; Anura; Pelobatidae.